RNAcentral lists this long non-coding RNA (3334 nucleotides) under Phaseolus vulgaris (common bean). RNAcentral's name for it is "long non-coding RNA (PVUL_LNC003339)". The record is from RNAcentral. Lineage: Eukaryota; Viridiplantae; Streptophyta; Magnoliopsida; Fabales; Fabaceae.
AACAGGAAGCUUAUAUGCAUAUGAAAUUUCCUGAAGCUGCUUUGCUGUUUUAAUCUUUUUCAGUGGUAAGUAUUUGCUUCAUUCUUUAAGUUACUGACCUACCUGUUACAAAGUUUGAUGUAAGCUUUCUUUUGUAGGAAAUCAAUAUAUCUGGCUCCCUUGAUGUUUCUAAAGUAUACUUGUGUGGUUCAUCGAUAAAUCAUAUCUCUCAUAGUAAGUGUUUUAUCAGUUAUAACAAAUACAAUGUUACCCAAGCUAUGAGAUGUUGCUGAACGUGAAAUAAUAUUUUCCUCUUGAUAUUUUUCUUCUCCAUUACAAAUUAUUUGAAUAACUUGAUGGGCAUAUUCAUAAUUCUUGAGUCAGGUGCUCUGGCUGCCCACUCCUUAUAGCACAUCCCUAAGAUACUGAAGACCAUGAAAGGUAUAUAAGUUUUGUGCUGCAACUGCAACCCUUUUGGGUUCACACCUGUUCUUAGACUUUACUUUUGUUGUAUAUAUGUGAUUGCUAGGGAUAAUGUAUACAGGUUUUUUAUUGUUAACCAAGUUAUCAAUAACAUGACCUGACAACGGAUGCCUUUUUAGUUAUUGUUCAGAUUGGCAGCAAGCAUCAUUGGACUCGUAAUAUGCAGAGUUAUCUAUUUCUGGGGCCGUGAUUUUCAAGAUCUUAAAGUUGCCUGUCCCGCAAAACCUGGCAGCUAACUGCUGGAGUACAUACGUCCAACAAAGAUGUUGGUUGUUCAUCCAACUUGCUUGAUGAUCAUCUUUUGGAGUUGGUUGAAAACAUGGUUUUCUGCCAGAGAACUGAGCAAGGUUCGAUAUAAAAGGCAUGAUCUUGUUAAUUGUGUUUCUCCGUUUGUUGGAAUAGUGUUUACUGGAUUUCAAUUUUCAUUCUAGCUACGUCUAUGGUUACUACUGUGCAAGUUAUUGGAGUUGGAGGCCUGUCUUGUUAUUUAUGCUGUGUUUACUUUAUACCCUGCCAUGUUUUGGUGUCUUAACAAUUACGGUUUCUUUGAUGCUGCUUUACCUUUUAAUUACGAUGAGUUUAUUUGAGUUUGACGCCUGUAUGUAUUCUUCGGCUGGGGAAAGUAUCAUUCGUAAAACUUAAAGAUGAAAAGAGAGAAGUCCUAACAAAAUAGACACUACUGGAUUUCCUCCAAUUCCAGUUGUUUGAUGUGGAUGAUUGUAAUGUUCAGCAUAAACUUAUCAGGUAGGUUGGAGUUUAAAAAAAAUGGUAGUAGAGAAAUAAAAUGGAAAACUACAUUGCUACAUUCGGAUUGGGUUGUUUCCAUGCAAGGUGAAGUACAUUUCUAACGUUAAAUAAAGGUGUUUAGUGGAAGAAAAUAGGAAAGAAAUGAAGAUAGAAAAGUAAAAUCAAGUGAAUGAUAAAAGAGAAGCAUUGGUGUAGUAGUUAAAUCAUCUUUUAAUCUUCAUCUGUUAAAAUUCUCACCUCUCCAACCAAAAACAGGUGGAAUUAUAAAUUGACACCUAACCAUCAUUACCCAAUUAUAAUGGGAAUUAUUGGAUUUAUACAGAACUAAGUAAAAGAAUGAUGAAGCUAAGAGGCGUUAUUCCCAAGGGGUGGUUAAUAAUUGGACAUGGUAUCAAUCAAAAUCUUGUUGCACAGGUGUUGGGGGGCAGUGAAAAGAUAAGACAUGAGAGUGAAGUGAGGAUGAAAACCUCCUAGAAAAGCAGGCAAAAAAAUGAAGUGUAUGGACCCCAACUAACGGAACCUUUCUUUCUUGAUACCUACUUGGCGUACACAUCAGACAAAACUGAUGACUAUGAAGAGGUCCUGGUGGGGCCCUUCCACUUCCAUUAUGUAAGGACCCUUUCCUUGCCUUGCCUUGCCUCAUUCAUUUUUUCAGGAUUUUAGAAAGCAUGUGGCUUGCACAUGCACAACCACAAACCCCUUUCUUGCUCCAAUCUCUCCACUCUGCUGACAAGUGACAUCCACUUUCACAAUCACUUCACAGCCCAUACUGAAAGCAACCCAACAGUGUUCACUGAUCAUGUGUGUUAUCCUAUUCCCAAGUCCCAACUUUAAAAACAGUAAUAAUGCAGAGGGAUUCACCCCCUCAUUGGGCUUUCCAUAGGUUACAGUAAGAGAAAGCAUCUCAGUUUGGACAAAAUAAUGGAGCCAACUUCAUUUUUCAAGUCUCUUUUUCAGAAUUGGCCAAAAUUAACAAUGGAUUCUAAUGCUGUGCUUCAGGCCAUAAUUAUAUCAUCUGAUAACUUUCCAUUAAUAUAACUGUUGGGGGGUUAGAAUUUCGCAUUUAACAAGUGUUCAAAUUUCAUGUGACUUUAAAUAGAAAUAAGAUUCAUGCAAAUUUUCUGGAUGAAUUGUGGUAUUUCUCAUCUGGGAACAAAGACCUGAUCUGUCAAAGUACAGAAAUAUGCAUAAUUCCCUAAGAUAAUAUCAGAAUUGAAUGACUGGAUUUGUUAAAUUUGUAUUUUAUGUUUGCUCUCUUUGGUUUAAAGCACCCUGGAAGCUUCUUUGUGAGUUUUUCAGAUGUAUGCUUAUCAUUGAUAAUGAUCUAACAUAUCUGAUUGCAGCUAAAGGAGAAGUUUCCUGAAUUGGGUAUCAAGAGUUUGUCUCAUCAAACAAAAAUUAGUGGAUUUGUGAGAUGCUAUAACAUCCGUUUGAAUAAAUGGCACAUAAUAAUGCAUGUUGGUUUUUUCAAGUGCAAAACAACAGAGGGGAACCCACAAAUGUCAACCUUUCUCUAUCCAAUUGCCACAAAUUGAUAAGCAUAUUACAAUCACGAAUAUUGUUUUGGAAAAUCAUGAUGGACCUGCCCAAUUAUAUGAGGUAGUUCAGUAAGUUUGAAGUAUCAUUAUAAUAUAUUUUGUGAGAACUCCUAAUUAUAAAGAAAAUAAGAACUAUAUAAUGAUUAAGAUUGAUAUUUACAUAAUAUAAGAUGUACCUAGUGAAUGAAUCUUAUUUGAGGGUAAAAUGAAUAAACAUUUACUAAUAGACUUUAUUGUUAAUAAUUAAGAUUGAAACAUUGAAACACUCAAGUCAUUGUGAGUAGAAAAAUGUUGAUUAAUGAUCGAGAUUAAAAUGUACACAAUAUAUUUAAUAAAUCAUAUUUUAUAUUUAAUAAAAUAAACUUUAAAGUAUAUACUGAAAUUAAGUUGAUAAAUUCAAGUACAAAUUUGUUCCUCUCUUAACAUGUAAUAAAGUUCAAGUUCUUGAUACUAAAGUAUAAUUUUAUAUUCGUGAUAUAAGUAGAGGAGUUAGCUUUCUUGUCAUGCAACUCGCGAAUCUUUUAUUAUAUAAUUACAUAUUAAAUAUUUUCAUUCAUUAUUUAUUAAUAUUAUAUUUAUAAUUUAUU